This 1011-nucleotide ribosomal RNA is filed under the name Salmonella enterica subsp. enterica serovar Millesi. RNAcentral's name for it is "partial 23S ribosomal RNA". It matches the Rfam family "Bacterial large subunit ribosomal RNA", at positions 161 to 1212 of the family's 2925-position model. Lineage: Bacteria; Pseudomonadati; Pseudomonadota; Gammaproteobacteria; Enterobacterales; Enterobacteriaceae. The record is from RNAcentral.
AAUCCAUAGGUUAAUGAGGCGAACCGGGGGAACUGAAACAUCUAAGUACCCCGAGGAAAAGAAAUCAACCGAGAUUCCCCCAGUAGCGGCGAGCGAACGGGGAGGAGCCCAGAGCCUGAAUCAGCAUGUGUGUUAGUGGAAGCGUCUGGAAAGGCGCGCGAUACAGGGUGACAGCCCCGUACACAAAAGCGCAUGUGCUGUGAGCUCGAUGAGUAGGGCGGGACACGUGGUAUCCUGUCUGAAUAUGGGGGGACCAUCCUCCAAGGCUAAAUACUCCUGACUGACCGAUAGUGAACCAGUACCGUGAGGGAAAGGCGAAAAGAACCCCGGCGAGGGGAGUGAAAAAGAACCUGAAACCGUGUACGUACAAGCAGUGGGAGCACCCUUUUGGGUGUGACUGCGUACCUUUUGUAUAAUGGGUCAGCGACUUAUAUUCUGUAGCAAGGUUAACCGCAUAGGGGAGCCGGAGGGAAACCGAGUCUUAAUUGGGCGUUAAGUUGCAGGGUAUAGACCCGAAACCCGGUGAUCUAGCCAUGGGCAGGUUGAAGGUUGGGUAACACUAACUGGAGGACCGAACCGACUAAUGUUGAAAAAUUAGCGGAUGACCUGUGGCUGGGGGUGAAAGGCCAAUCAAACCGGGAGAUAGCUGGUUCUCCCCGAAAGCUAUUUAGGUAGCGCCUCGUGAAUUCAUCUCCGGGGGUAGAGCACUGUUUCGGCUAGGGGGCCAUCCCGGCUUACCAACCCGAUGCAAACUGCGAAUACCGGAGAAUGUUAUCACGGGAGACACACGGCGGGUGCUAACGUCCGUCGUGAAGAGGGAAACAACCCAGACCGCCAGCUAAGGUCCCAAAGUCAUGGUUAAGUGGGAAACGAUGUGGGAAGGCCCAGACAGCCAGGAUGUUGGCUUAGAAGCAGCCAUCAUUUAAAGAAAGCGUAAUAGCUCACUGGUCGAGUCGGCCUGCGCGGAAGAUGUAACGGGGCUAAACCAUGCACCGAAGCUGCGGCAGCGAA